This 478-nucleotide ribosomal RNA is filed under the name uncultured bacterium. RNAcentral describes it as "partial 16S ribosomal RNA". It matches the Rfam family "Bacterial small subunit ribosomal RNA", at positions 28 to 523 of the family's 1533-position model. The record is from RNAcentral.
GACGAACGCUGGCGGCGUGCUUAACACAUGCAAGUCGAGCGAUGAAGCUUCUUCGGAAGUGGAUUAGCGGCGGACGGGUGAGUAACACGUGGGUAACCUGCCUCAUAGAGGGGAAUAGCCUUCCGAAAGGAAGAUUAAUACCGCAUAAGAUUGUAAUAUCGCAUGAUAUAGCAAUUAAAGGAGCAAUCCGCUAUGAGAUGGACCCGCGUCGCAUUAGCUAGUUGGUGAGGUAACGGCUCACCAAGGCGACGAUGCGUAGCCGACCUGAGAGGGUGAUCGGCCACAUUGGGACUGAGACACGGCCCAGACUCCUACGGGAGGCAGCAGUGGGGAAUAUUGCACAAUGGGGGAAACCCUGAUGCAGCAACGCCGCGUGAGUGAUGACGGUCUUCGGAUUGUAAAGCUCUGUCUUUAGGGACGAUAAUGACGGUACCUAAGGAGGAAGCCACGGCUAACUACGUGCCAGCCGCCGCGGUAA